This 63-nucleotide small nuclear RNA is filed under the name Marmota marmota marmota (Alpine marmot). RNAcentral's name for it is "U7 small nuclear RNA (ENSMMMG00000005009.1)". It matches the Rfam family "U7 small nuclear RNA". Rfam says of the family: Animal histone pre-mRNAs are spliced by a different mechanism than nuclear pre-mRNAs and self-splicing introns. This processing involves the U7 snRNP, which contains only one RNA species: U7. Lineage: Eukaryota; Metazoa; Chordata; Mammalia; Rodentia; Sciuridae. RNAcentral also lists the same sequence under 1 other name. The record is from Rfam by way of RNAcentral.
AAGUGUUACAGCUCUUUUAUAAUUUGUGUAGCAGGCUUUUGGGCUGUUGCCAAAUGAUCCAGU